AACGAACGCUGGCGGCAUGCCUAACACAUGCAAGUCGAACGCCCCGCAAGGGGAGUGGCGAACGGGUGAGUAACGCGUGGGAACCUACCCAGCAGUUGGGGAUAACCGCGGGAAACUGCGGCUAAUACCGAAUACGUCCUAUGGGAGACAGAUUUAUCGCUGUUGGAGGGGCCCGCGUCGGAUUAGCUAGUUGGUGAGGUAACGGCUCACCAAGGCUUCGAUCCGUAGCUGGUCUGAGAGGAUGAUCAGCCACACUGGGACUUAGACACGGCCCAGACUCCUACGGGAGGCAGCAGUGGGGAAUAUUGGACAAUGGGGGCAACCCUGAUCCAGCAAUGCCGCGUGAGUGAUGAAGGCCUUAGGGUUGUAAAGCUCUUUUGCCGGGGACGAUGAUGACGGUACCCGGAGAAUAAGCCCCGGCUAACUUCGUGCCAGCAGCCGCGGUAA
This 447-nucleotide ribosomal RNA is filed under the name uncultured bacterium. RNAcentral's name for it is "partial 16S ribosomal RNA". It matches the Rfam family "Bacterial small subunit ribosomal RNA", at positions 29 to 523 of the family's 1533-position model. The record is from RNAcentral.